GGGGUUGUGGCUCAGAGGUAGAGCGCUUGCCUACCAUGCAUGAGACACUGGUUUGAUCCUCAGUACCA
This 68-nucleotide transfer RNA is filed under the name Ictidomys tridecemlineatus (thirteen-lined ground squirrel). RNAcentral's name for it is "Spermophilus tridecemlineatus (thirteen-lined ground squirrel) tRNA". It matches the Rfam family "tRNA". From Rfam's summary of the family: Transfer RNA (tRNA) molecules are approximately 80 nucleotides in length. The record is from Rfam by way of RNAcentral. Lineage: Eukaryota; Metazoa; Chordata; Mammalia; Rodentia; Sciuridae.